UUGAGCUCAGAUCAGGUAGGACUACCGCCUGAACUUAAGCAUAUCAAUAAGGCGAGGAACAGAAACCAACAGGGAUUCCCCUAGUAGUGGCGAAUGAAGCGGGAAAAGCUCAAGUUUGAAAUCUGGCGGGUGACCUCCAGAGUUGUAAGCUGAAGAGGCAUAGACCGACGCGGUCCGGGCUCAAUUUCCUUGGAACAGGAGGUCAUGGAGGGUGAGAACCCCGUCUGUGGCUCGAGUGCCGUCGUCCUUGCGUCUUGCCCUCGUAGAGUCGGGUUGUUUGGGAAUGCAGCUCAAAAUGGGUGGUAAAUUUCAUCUAAAGCUAAAUAUUGGCGAGAGACCGAUAGCAAACAAGUAGAGUGAUCGAAAGAUGAAAAGUACUUUGAAAAGAGAGUGAAACAGUACGUGAAAUUGUUGAAAGGGAAGCGUUUGGCAUCAGCCCAUGGCGCUCGAAGAUCAUCCGGGCUUCUGUCCGGUGCACUUUUCGAGCGUUGGGCCAGCGUCGACUUUGCCCGCCGGAGAAAGGCCAGGGGGACGUGUCUCCCUUCGGGGAGAGUUAUAACCCCUGGCGUCAUGCGGUGUGGUGGGGUCGAGGUCCGCGGUUUAUCCUAGGACGCUGGCGUAAUGG
RNAcentral lists this ribosomal RNA (625 nucleotides) under uncultured fungus. RNAcentral's name for it is "eukaryotic LSU rRNA". It matches the Rfam family "Eukaryotic large subunit ribosomal RNA", at positions 1 to 637 of the family's 3401-position model. The record is from RNAcentral. Lineage: Eukaryota; Fungi.